GCGGGUGUAGCGUAGUGGUUAACGCGUCUGGUUGUGGCCCAGAAGACCGUGGGUUCGACCCCCACCACUCGCC
Molecule: transfer RNA, 73 nt
Filed under: Chloroflexota bacterium
Lineage: Bacteria; Bacillati; Chloroflexota
Also listed under: 1 other name
Description: tRNA-His
Rfam family: tRNA
About the family: Transfer RNA (tRNA) molecules are approximately 80 nucleotides in length.
Source: RNAcentral